UACAGAGGUCCCAAGCGUUGUUCGGAUUCACUGGGCGUAAAGGGUGCGUAGGUGGCGGGGCAAGUUUGAUGUGAAAUCUCCGGGCUUAACCCGGAAAUGGCAUUGAAUACUAUUCCGCUUGGAGGGUUGGAGGGGGGACUGGAAUUCUCGGUGUAGCAGUGAAAUGCGUAGAUAUGACAUAGAACACCGAUAGCGAAGGCAGCUUGCUACACAAUCAUUGACACUGAGGCACGAAAGCGUGGGGAUCAAACAGG
RNAcentral lists this ribosomal RNA (254 nucleotides) under uncultured bacterium. Its description in RNAcentral is "partial 16S ribosomal RNA". It matches the Rfam family "Bacterial small subunit ribosomal RNA", at positions 524 to 776 of the family's 1533-position model. The record is from RNAcentral.